This 301-nucleotide ribosomal RNA is filed under the name uncultured bacterium. RNAcentral describes it as "partial 16S ribosomal RNA". It matches the Rfam family "Bacterial small subunit ribosomal RNA", at positions 509 to 808 of the family's 1533-position model. The record is from RNAcentral.
CAGCAGCCGCGGGAAUACGUAGGUCCCGAGCGUUGUCCGGAUUUAUUGGGCGUAAAACGAGCGCAGGCGGUUAGAUAAGUCUGAAGUUAAAGGCUGUGGCUUAACCAUAGUACGCUUUGGAAACUGUUUAACUUGAGUGCAAGAGGGGAGAGUGGAAUUCCAUGUGUAGCGGUGAAAUGCGUAGAUAUUAGGAAGAACACCAGUGGCGAAGGCGACUUUCUGGACGAAAACUGACGCUGAGGCUCGAAAGCGUGGGGAGCAAACAGGAUUAGAUACCCGAGUAGUCCCUGUCUCUUAUACA